UUAACACAUGCAAGUCGAACGGGCUCUUCGGAGCUAGUGGCGGACGGGUGAGUAACGCGUGAGAAUCUGCCUUCAGGAGGGGGAUAACGACUGGAAACGGUCGCUAAUACCCCAUAUGCCUCCGGGUGAAAAGUAAUUCGCCUGAAGAUGAGCUCGCGUCAGAUUAGCUAGUUGGUGGGGUAAGAGCCUACCAAGGCGACGAUCUGUAGCUGGUCUGAGAGGAUGAUCAGCCACAGUAGGACUGAGACACGGCCCAGACUCCUACGGGAGGCAGCAGUGGGGAAUUUUCCGCAAUGGGCGCAAGCCUGACGGAGCAAGACCGCGUGGGGGAUGACGGCCUAAUGGUUGUAAACCCCUUUGCUCUGGGAAGAAGACUGACGGUACCAGAGGAAUCAGCCUCGGCUAACUCCGUGCCAGCAGACGCGGUAAUACGGAGGAGGCAAGCGUUAUCCGGAAUUAUUGGGCGUAAAGCGUACGUAGGUGGUUAUUCAAGUCUGCUGUCAAAGAGUGGGGCUUAACUCCAUAGAGGCAGUGGAAACUGAGUGACUAGAGUGCGGUAAGGGUCAAGGGAAUUCCAAGUGUAGCGGUGAAAUGCGUAGAUAUAGGGAAGAACACCAAUGGCGAAAGCGCUCGACUGGGCCUGCACUGACACUGAGGGACGAAAGCUAGGGGAGCGAAAGGGAUUAGAUACCCCUGUAGUCCUAGCCGUA
Molecule: ribosomal RNA, 710 nt
Filed under: uncultured organism
Description: bacterial SSU rRNA
Rfam family: Bacterial small subunit ribosomal RNA
Source: RNAcentral